UACGUAGGUGGCAAGCGUUAUCCGGAUUUACUGGGUGUAAAGGGCGUGUAGGCGGGAGAGCGAGUCAGACGUGAAAUUCCAGGGCUCAACCCUGGAACUGCGUUUGAAACUGUUCUUCUUGAGUGAUGGAGAGGCAGGCGGAAUUCCGUGUGUAGCGGUGAAAUGCGUAGAUAUACGGAGGAACACCAGUGGCGAAGGCGGCCUGCUGGACAUUAACUGACGCUGAGGCGCGAAAGCGUGGGGAGCAAACAGG
Molecule: ribosomal RNA, 253 nt
Filed under: uncultured bacterium
Lineage: Bacteria
Description: partial 16S ribosomal RNA
Rfam family: Bacterial small subunit ribosomal RNA
Source: RNAcentral